Molecule: ribosomal RNA, 351 nt
Filed under: uncultured Pseudomonas sp.
Lineage: Bacteria; Pseudomonadati; Pseudomonadota; Gammaproteobacteria; Pseudomonadales; Pseudomonadaceae
Description: bacterial SSU rRNA
Rfam family: Bacterial small subunit ribosomal RNA
Source: RNAcentral
GGAAUAUUGGACAAUGGGCGAAAGCCUGAUCCAGCCAUGCCGCGUGUGUGAAGAAGGUCUUCGGAUUGUAAAGCACUUUAAGUUGGGAGGAAGGGCAGUAAGCUAAUACCUUGCUGUUUUGACGUUACCGACAGAAUAAGCACCGGCUAACUUCGUGCCAGCAGCCGCGGUAAUACGAAGGGUGCAAGCGUUAAUCGGAAUUACUGGGCGUAAAGCGCGCGUAGGUGGUUCGUUAAGUUGGAUGUGAAAGCCCCGGGCUCAACCUGGGAACUGCAUCCAAAACUGGCGAGCUAGAGUAUGGCAGAGGGUGGUGGAAUUUCCUGUGUAGCGGUGAAAUGCGUAGAUAUAGGA